This 468-nucleotide ribosomal RNA is filed under the name uncultured bacterium. Its description in RNAcentral is "partial 16S ribosomal RNA". It matches the Rfam family "Bacterial small subunit ribosomal RNA", at positions 28 to 507 of the family's 1533-position model. The record is from RNAcentral.
GACGAACGCUGGCGGCGUGCUUAACACAUGCAAGUCGAACGGAAAGUCCCUUCUUUUGUGGGGUUCUCGAGUGGCGAACGGGUGAGUAACACGUGAGUAACCUGCCCUUGACUUGGGGAUAACUUCAGGAAACUGGGUCUAAUACCGGAUAGUAGCUCCAGGUGCAUGUAUGGGUUUGGAAGGUUUCGGCGGUUGGGGAUGGACUCGCGGCUUAUCAGCUUGUUGGUGGGGUAGUGGCUUACCAAGGCUUUGAAGGGUAGCCGGCCUGAGAGGGUGACCGGCCAAAUUGGGACUGAGAUACGGCCCAGAAUCCUACGGGAGGCAGGAGUGGGGAAUAAUGCAAAAUGGGCUGAAGACUGAUGCAGAAAAGUCGCGUGCGGGAUGACGGCCUUCGGGUUGUAAACCGCUUUCGCCUGUGACGAAGCGCGAGUGACGGUAAUGGGUAAAGAAGCACCGGCUAACUACGUG